GCAAGUCGAGGGGCAGCUGGUCUUAGCUUGCUAAGGCCGAUGGCGACCGGGGCGCGGGUGAGUAACACGUAUCCAACCUGCCGUCUACUCUUGGACAGCCUUCUGAAAGGAAGAUUAAUACAAGAUGGCAUCAUGAGUCCACAUGUUCACAUGAUUAAAGGUAUUCCGGUAGACGAUGGGGAUGCGUUCCAUUAGAUAGUAGGCGGGGUAACGGCCCACCUAGUCUUCGAUGGAUAGGGGUUCUGAGAGGAAGGUCCCCCACAUUGGAACUGAGACACGGUCCAAACUCCUACGGGAGGCAGCAGUGAGGAAUAUUGGUCAAUGGGCGAGAGCCUGAACCAGCCAAGUAGCGUGAAGGAUGACUGCCCUAUGGGUUGUAAACUUCUUUUAUAAAGGAAUAAAGUCGGGUAUGCAUACCCGUUUGCAUGUACUUUAUGAAUAAGGAUCGGCUAACUCCGUGCCAGCAGCCGCGGUAAUACGGAGGAUCCGAGCGUUAUCCGGAUUUAUUGGGUUUAAAGGGAGCGUAGAUGGAUGUUUAAGUCAGUUGUGAAAGUUUGCGGCUCAACCGUAAAAUUGCAGUUGAUACUGGAUAUCUUGAGUGCAGUUGAG
Molecule: ribosomal RNA, 609 nt
Filed under: uncultured Bacteroidales bacterium
Lineage: Bacteria; Pseudomonadati; Bacteroidota; Bacteroidia; Bacteroidales
Description: bacterial SSU rRNA
Rfam family: Bacterial small subunit ribosomal RNA
Source: RNAcentral